AGAGUUUGAUCAUGGCUCAGGAUGAACGCUAGCGGCAGGCUUAAUACAUGCAAGUCGAGGGGUAACAGGGGAGCUUGUUCCCGCUGACGACCGGCAAACGGGUGCGGAACACGUACAGAACCUUCCUUCGAGCGGGGAAUAGCCCAGAGAAAUUUGGAUUAAUACCCCAUAGUAUUACGGAGUGGCAUCACUUUGUAAUUAAAGAUUUAUCACUUGAAGAUGGCUGUGCGGCUGAUUAGGUAGUUGGCGGGGUAACGGCCCACCAAGCCUUCGAUCAGUAACUGGUGUGAGAGCACGACCAGUCACACGGGCACUGAGACACGGGCCCGACUCCUACGGGAGGCAGCAGUAAGGAAUAUUGGUCAAUGGACGAAAGUCUGAACCAGCCAUGCCGCGUGGAGGAUGAAGGCCCUCUGGGUUGUAAACUUCUUUUAUAUGGGACGAAAAAAGAUCUUUCUAGGUCACCUGACGGUACCAUAUGAAUAAGCACCGGCUAACUCCGUGCCAGCAGCCGCGGUAAUACGGAGGGUGCAAGCGUUAUCCGGAUUCACUGGGUUUAAAGGGUGCGUAGGUGGGUUGGUAAGUCAGUGGUGAAAUCUCCGAGCUUAACUUGGAAACUGCCAUUGAUACUAUCAGUCUUGAAUAUUGUGGAGGUCAGCGGAAUAUGUCAUGUAGCGGUGAAAUGCUUAGAUAUGACAUAGAACACCAAUUGCGAAGGC
This 719-nucleotide ribosomal RNA is filed under the name uncultured bacterium. Its description in RNAcentral is "bacterial SSU rRNA". It matches the Rfam family "Bacterial small subunit ribosomal RNA", at positions 8 to 722 of the family's 1533-position model. The record is from RNAcentral.